This 253-nucleotide ribosomal RNA is filed under the name uncultured bacterium. RNAcentral's name for it is "partial 16S ribosomal RNA". It matches the Rfam family "Bacterial small subunit ribosomal RNA", at positions 524 to 776 of the family's 1533-position model. The record is from RNAcentral.
UACGGAGGGUGCAAGCGUUAUCCGGAUUCACUGGGUUUAAAGGGUGCGUAGGAGGGCAGGUAAGUCAGUGGUGAAAUCUCCAAGCUUAACUUGGAAACUGCCGUUGAUACUAUCUGUCUUGAAUACCGUGGAGGUGAGCGGAAUAUGUCAUGUAGCGGUGAAAAGCUUAGAUAUGACAUAGAACACCAAUUGCGAAGGCAGCUCGCUACACGAAUAUUGACUCUGAGGCACGAAAGCGUGGGGAUCAAACAGG